GGGCCCGUAGCUCAGUUGGGAGAGCGCCUGCUUCGCAUGUAGGAGGUCGCCAGUUCGAAUCUGGUCGGGUCCAUCA
Molecule: transfer RNA, 76 nt
Filed under: Latilactobacillus sakei
Lineage: Bacteria; Bacillati; Bacillota; Bacilli; Lactobacillales; Lactobacillaceae
Also listed under: 5 other names
Description: Lactobacillus sakei tRNA-Ala
Rfam family: tRNA
About the family: Transfer RNA (tRNA) molecules are approximately 80 nucleotides in length. Their secondary structure includes four short double-helical elements and three loops (D, anti-codon, and T loops).
Source: RNAcentral